UAUCUUUUGGCACAAAAGUGUGAGGGAAAACAACACUUGGCUUUAGAAUCUUAUCUACCGUUAUAUGGUUCUUGUCUCUUCCUAAACGCAAGAAUGGCGAAUGUUAAUGUCAACGCACACAACGCUGUACUCAGAAAUAUCUGAAAGGCUAGAUGAAGGCGUGCAGCCAAAUUAAGAUGGCAAGCAGAGAGGAAUAUUAAGUGGAUUAAAGUCCCUAGUACCAGAACUUGAAGCUAUUUUUUCAGGUUACAUCCACCUGAUGAUCAACCACUCAGAAAUUACUUUGUUGACCCUUGUACUGGAGCACAUAGCAACACCAUGGAGGGCUUCUGGAGUACAAAAUGCACAUAUGAUGCAACUUGUUUGGUUCCAUCUGCAAGCAGAGCACAUCAGUAUUCAAAAUGGUAUCCAUUCCUGAAUUGGUUGUUUCAAGAUUGAAUGAAGGAAAGAAAGAUGUUCUCCUUCUGGUCUCCGUGAGCUUUUCAGGACCCGCCAAGCAAGAGUGCAGACACUGUUUGUUUUCAAAGGUCGUCGACUGCAGUGGAUUAUUGGACCUUGAUUGACUCCAUGAGGUGUCCA
Stylophora pistillata is the source of this 579-nucleotide long non-coding RNA. Lineage: Eukaryota; Metazoa; Cnidaria; Anthozoa; Scleractinia; Pocilloporidae. The record is from RefSeq and is a predicted model, not a curated record.